This 468-nucleotide ribosomal RNA is filed under the name uncultured bacterium. RNAcentral's name for it is "partial 16S ribosomal RNA". It matches the Rfam family "Bacterial small subunit ribosomal RNA", at positions 28 to 507 of the family's 1533-position model. The record is from RNAcentral.
GACGAACGCUGGCGGCGUGCCUAACACAUGCAAGUCGAACGGAAAGGCCCUGCUUUUGUGGGGUGCACGUUUGCGGAACGGGUGAGUAACACGCGAGUAACCCCCCCUUGUCUGUCGGGUAACUUCAGGAAACACGGGCUAAUAUCGGGUAGGAGCUCCUGAUCCACAGGGGGGGAUGGAAAAUUUCGGCUGUUGUGGCUGGUCUCGCGGCUUACGAGCUGGUUGGGCGAGUAGGGGCUUUCCAGGCCUUCGACGGCUAGCCGGCCUGAGAGGGGGACCAGCCACAAUGGUACUAAGAUACGGCCCAGACUGCAACGGGAGGCAGCAGGGGAGAAUAUUGCGCAGUAGGCGGGAGCCUGAUGCGGCGACGCCGCGUGCGGGAUGACGGCCUUCGGGUUAAAAACCGCUUUCGCCUGUGACGAAGCGUGAGUGACGGUAAUGGAUAAAAAAGCACCGGCUAACUACGUG